UACGUAGGGGGCAAGCGUUGUCCGGAAUCAUUGGGCGUAAAGCGCGUGUAGGCGGUCCGAUCAGUCGGCUGUGAAAGUCCAGGGCUCAACCCUGGGAUGCCGGUCGAUACUGUCGGGCUAGAGUCCGGAAGAGGCGAGUGGAAUUCCCGGUGUAGCGGUGAAAUGCGCAGAUAUCUGGAGGAACACCGGUGGCGAAGGCGGCAUCCUGGACCAACACUGACACUGAGGAGCGAAAGCCAGGGGAGCAAACGGG
This 253-nucleotide ribosomal RNA is filed under the name uncultured bacterium. RNAcentral's name for it is "partial 16S ribosomal RNA". It matches the Rfam family "Bacterial small subunit ribosomal RNA", at positions 524 to 776 of the family's 1533-position model. The record is from RNAcentral.